Molecule: ribosomal RNA, 468 nt
Filed under: uncultured bacterium
Lineage: Bacteria
Description: partial 16S ribosomal RNA
Rfam family: Bacterial small subunit ribosomal RNA
Source: RNAcentral
GACGAACGCUGGCGGCGUGCUUAACACAUGCAAGUCGAACGGAAAGGCCCUGCUUUUGUGGGGUGCUCGAGUGGCGAACGGGUGAGUAACACGUGAGUAACCUGCCCUUGACUUUGGGAUAACUUCAGGAAACUGGGGCUAAUACCGGAUAGGAGCUCCUGCUGCAUGGUGGGGGUUGGAAAGUUUCGGCGGUGGGGGAUGGACUCGCGGCUUAUCAGCUUGUUGGUGGGGUAGUGGCUUACCAAGGCUUUGACGGGUAGCCGGCCUGAGAGGGUGACCGGCCACAUUGGGACUACGAUACGGCCCAGACUCCUACGGGCCGCAGCAGUGGGGAAUAUUGCACAAUGGGCGGAAGCCUGAUGCAGCAACGCCGCGUGCGGGAUGACGGCCUUCGGGUUGUAAACCGCUUUCGCCUGUGACGAAGCGUGAGUGACGGUAAUGGGUAAAGAAGCACCGGCUAACUACGUG